RNAcentral lists this ribosomal RNA (486 nucleotides) under uncultured bacterium. RNAcentral's name for it is "partial 16S ribosomal RNA". It matches the Rfam family "Bacterial small subunit ribosomal RNA", at positions 29 to 507 of the family's 1533-position model. The record is from RNAcentral.
AACGAACGCUGGCGGCGCGUCUUAACCAUGCAAGUCGAGCGGCAGGCAACAAUGCCGAGAGCGGCGGACUGGUGAGUAACACGUGGAUAACGUACCCCGAUGUCCGGGACAGCCUGUAGAAAUAGAGGGUAAUACCGGAUAGAUCACUGUUUACGUGAGGUAGACAGCGGGAAAGGAGCUUCGGCUCCGCGACGGGAUCGGUCUGCGGCCCAUCAGCUGGACGGCGGGGUAAAGGCCCGCCGUGGCGAGGACGGGUAUCCGGCCUGAGAGGGCGGACGGACACAUUGGGACUGAGAUACGGCCCAGACUCCUACGGGAGGCAGCAGGUAAGAAUAUUCCGCAAAGGGGGGAACCCUGACGGAGCGACGCCGCGUGAACGAAGAAGGCCGGAAGGUUGUAAAGUUCUUUUCUGUCCGAGGAAUAAGUUUCGGAGGAAAUGCCGGGACGGUGACGGUAGGGCAGGAAUAAGCACCGGCUAAUUACGUG